UUCCACGAAUUCAACAUUUUGUUGGGGUAA
RNAcentral lists this non-coding RNA (30 nucleotides) under Rattus norvegicus (Norway rat). Lineage: Eukaryota; Metazoa; Chordata; Mammalia; Rodentia; Muridae. The record is from RNAcentral.